Molecule: long non-coding RNA, 364 nt
Organism: Pezoporus occidentalis (night parrot)
Lineage: Eukaryota; Metazoa; Chordata; Aves; Psittaciformes; Psittacidae
Exons: 3
Source: RefSeq, a predicted model, not a curated record
AAGCUGUGCGAGUCUGAAGGUGGAAGAUGCAAGGUGGACACGUACCAAGGUGCUGAGCCUUCAAGGACAAGACAUGCACUUCAAUACCUAGCCAGCCUCUGAGCUUUCUAGAACAUGUUGCAGGAGAACAGACUGCAGAGCUUUGGGCAGGGAGCCAUGUCACCCGAUGGUACCAUGAAGAGAGGAGACCCCUGCAUUGGAAUUUGACAGAGCUACGAGUGAUGUGUUAAUAGUCAAAGCAAGAUUCUGCUAAUGCAGGCCCUCCAUGCCCCUAAUCAACUGCUCAGUCUUUGUUUGCUCGCAUCCCAGAUAAAAUUUGUCUUUCUUGAACAUGAGGAAUGAGAAAUGUCCAUAGUGGUACAGG